RNAcentral lists this long non-coding RNA (3430 nucleotides) under Marmota monax (woodchuck). The record is from RNAcentral. Lineage: Eukaryota; Metazoa; Chordata; Mammalia; Rodentia; Sciuridae.
UGUGUCAGCCCUACCAAAAGUAAGUAGAGAUGCUAUAGAGAAAGAGGUCUAAUGCAUGAGUGUUGGAUAAUAACUAUCAAAAGAGACUCUGCUAAAAUCAUGUUUUACCUGAAUUAAUUUAAGUUUGAUCAUGAUUUAAACACACACACACUCACACACACACACACACUUUAAUAAAAACAUUAAAGUUUACUUGCUAAGCUUUUGGUUAUGGCCACUAUUGGGAGCUCUGAUAAGUAUGUCUGCUCCUAUUGCUCAACCCUCGCCCUCUGAAUCUUCUAAUAAUGUCUGCAUCUUCCAGAUUGGAACAAUUACAUGUUAAGAAGAUGGUAACACAAAAAUUCCAGCCCAUCCCCACAAAUGAGGCCAGUUUUUUUCUGUCAGUUCACGGAGAGGCCACAAAGGAGGAACUGAAUACCACCAAGAACAAGGUGAGAAGCUCACAGUGGGUCCUCGCUCAUAGCUGAGCUUGAGAUGACGGCACACCAACCAGCCCCUUGACUGUACCUACUGAGAAACCUGACCUAGACACACCAUAUAAAAAAGGACUGGAGAGUACAGAGGGCCAUUCUAGAAACAUGUAUAAACACAGAUUUGCAGAUAUGUGGCCUACAGAGGAGUAUGUUGCCUAUGUACUGGGCUGAACUUCACUGUCCACCCAGGGUAGUGAGGAGUGGCCUGGGAGGUCUGCUUCUGCAGACCCUCAGAGGUAGCACCUCUGUGGUAGCCAGCUCUGCCUGUCCACCUGCACCACUGGGCUCUGGAUGAUGAGCGAGCUACUGGCUCAAAGGGCUCUGGAUUCUGACAGUGACAGCAAAGCUCCAAAAGAAACUACCAUGGCUGCAGGAGUCUUGCCUCCAAAUGAAGAUCAAUAUUCCAUGUUGGUAAAUAAUAAUGGGCAUGCUUCAAACAUGAAAGGAAGUUCAGAACAUCCAACACUGAAGUACACAAAAGUGGAGAGCGUGUAUGGGCAUGACAUCCCUUGACACUGAUGUGUUCCAUGGAGUGUGGUGGCAGAGCAUGCAAAUAUGAGAAUGCAGCCUGCUGGAGUGAGCAGGAGCAAGACAUUAAGGGUUUUUAUUCAUCUUGGAUAACUGACAAUAUCCAGGUCAUGUCUCUCCUGUUAUCUGAGCUCCUGGAGAAGUAGCACAUCAUGGAGCAGGUCCUCAGUCAUGGUCUAAAAUAAAUAAUCAACCUACAGCACCCUGGUAAGGAUGCUAGCAGCUGUGGAAGGAAAAAGGUUACACAUACCUUUCUGAAGCAUUCAUGGAGGGUGGCCCUUAUUUCUACAAUUUUGGAUGGAAGGAUUAUGGAGUAGCAUCUCCUACCACCAUCUUAGAUAUGGUGAAGAUGAUGACAUUUGCCUUACAGGAAGGAAAAGUUUUCAUCUAUCAUCACACAGGGCUUAGCCAGACAGAUUUUUAAUAGUAUGUUAUUUAGUUUUUGCAACAAGAAUGACUGCUGACCAAGCAAUUAUAUUUCUGCAGACUAAGUGACCCAAUUCAACACAAACCAGAGGACAACUGCUAUGUGUACAACAAUUUACUCACUCUGACUCCUCUCACACAAUAUUUUCUCUUUCUGUGAUUCCAAAGCAUAUGCUGUCACAUUAGUCUAGUACCUAAUUUGCCACCAUCAUCUGAUUCAUGGUUAGGAGUCAUGACUUCUGAACAUGUGCCCCAAAUUGUCCAACUGGUCUGCAAAUUCCUUGCUGAAAACAGGCCAGUGGUGAUGCAGGUCAUGGUGAAAGCACCUGAACUCUCUGCUGAAAUUGAAAAGAACAUGACUGAGAUUAUGACAAUGUGGCUGGAUGAAGAGUUAAUGAAGCACAAGAGUGAGGCAUCAGACCCAUUUAACCCUACUGAAGUGGUGGCAGAGUAUGAGAAAUGAGAUGAUUCUUUCCAAUGAGCAAGAGUUUGACCCCCUUUGGAAAAGGCAGGAUGUCCAGUGACCCAUCUGAAAAGGUGAUUCAGCUACAGUGACUCAGAUUUAAAGAGGACCAAAACUCUCCUGGAGCAAGAGGGGACACCAUUCCUGCCCAGGACGUGCUGGGAUACAAUCUCCAGCAGCAGAAGCCCAUCAGACAUUGUGGAGACUCAACAUCUCCAGAACUAGAGUUCCAGAGGAGGCAUUGGUUGGCAACACAUUUUCUUUCUGGAGUCACUCUAAGUGUGGAGGUUUGGAAAGAUCCAAGGAUGUUGAAACACCACUUUUUUGUAGGAGAGAUAUUCCAAAGUACAAUGAAGUAGAACCUUCUCUGUGGGUAUUUCACAUUCAUGCAAUCCUGGGAAAUCAAUUACACCAACUUUGCAAAUCUCCAUAAGGAUCUAAACCCUUCUCAUCAGCAAGUGGCCCUCUGUUGUUGUGAACCACACAGUGGUUGGGGCCCAGGCUCUGUGGAAGAGGAAGGCAGGACCUGCUGCAGCCUUCCAGGCUGAAGCUUCAUCUGGUGUCUUCAUUCUUCAUUCAAGACACAGCUCUUGAUUGGAGAUCCCCAGAAGAGCAAAGGUCUGUCUGAAGCAGAGCCACAUGCUGACUUGCCAUCUGAAUUGACUGUUAAAGCAAGGAGGAUACUGGCAGCCAAAGCUCUGACAAAUAUAAAUGAGUUUAUAGAAAAGGAUUAAGUGAAAAGGAAGGUAGAAGUGUGUCAGAAAUAACUAAAUUUCCAAAGUGGAGCAUGGGAAAGAACAUGUGGUGAGAGAGAUCCUUUCAUCCUGGGUCAUUUGAUAUGGUCUUUGGUGGAACAACUAAAGGAGCCUAUAAUCUCCAAAGAGGAUAUGGACACAUUGGUUGAUAGACACACAGGUGCCACUGAAGCCCUGUUCUUAUUAGAGAAGGGACAGCACCAGACUAUCCUUUGUGUGUUGCAGUGCAUAGUGAACCUGAAGAAAUUCCCAUGGAGGUAGAGGAAGCUUGCCUUAUUCACAUCAUUAAGGUUUUAACUAAGGUUAGUUUUGAUUCAGAGAAUGGACCAAUAGUUUACAAAUUCCUGAAGAAAAUAUUUAAGCACAUUUUGGGUGGGGAAAAAAUGACAAAAGAGCCCCAAGCCAGGCCUCUUGUGAAGGUAAAUUUCUCCUCAUGAUGAAUAUGCCAGGCCUAAAUAUCAAGAUAACAUUUCUGUUCAUCUGUGAAUAAGCUGAAGUUUGUAGAACUACUUUUUCUCAUAGUACUUUAUUUUAAAUGCUGUUGUCUUGUGCUUAGAAUGAUCUUCUUUAGGGAAAUUAUUUUUAAAAAAAUAUCCUUGAGCUUAGGCUGUGUUGUGGCUCAGUGGUUGAGCACCUGUCUUGCAUGUGCAAGGCACUGGGUUCAAUCUUCAGCACCACAUAAAAAUAAAUAAAUAAAAUAAUGAUAUUGUAUCCAUCUACAACUAAAACAAACAAAAAUUUUUAAAAAUAUAUUCUUGAGUUACAUCUUAGUCUUGAAAAAUUGC